RNAcentral lists this ribosomal RNA (447 nucleotides) under uncultured bacterium. RNAcentral describes it as "SSU rRNA". It matches the Rfam family "Bacterial small subunit ribosomal RNA", at positions 26 to 518 of the family's 1533-position model. The record is from RNAcentral.
AGAGCGAACGCUGGCGGCAGGCUUAACACAUGCAAGUCGAGCGGGCGUAGCAAUACGUCAGCGGCAGACGGGUGAGUAACGCGUGGGAACAUACCUUUUGGUUCGGAACAACCCAGGGAAACUUGGGCUAAUACCGGAUAAGCCCUUACGGGGAAAGAUUUAUCGCCGAAAGAUUGGCCCGCGUCUGAUUAGCUAGUUGGUGAGGUAACGGCUCACCAAGGCGACGAUCAGUAGCUGGUCUGAGAGGAUGAUCAGCCACAUUGGGACUGAGACACGGCCCAAACUCCUACGGGAGGCAGCAGUGGGGAAUAUUGGACAAUGGGCGCAAGCCUGAUCCAGCCAUGCCGCGUGAGUGAUGAAGGCCCUAGGGUUGUAAACCUCUUUCGCCCGCGACGAUGAUGACGGUAGCGGGAGAAGAAGCCCGGCUAACUUCGUGCCAGCAGCCGC